Molecule: ribosomal RNA, 426 nt
Filed under: uncultured bacterium
Lineage: Bacteria
Description: bacterial SSU rRNA
Rfam family: Bacterial small subunit ribosomal RNA
Source: RNAcentral
GGGCCCGCACAAGCAGUGGAGCAUGUGGUUUAAUUCGAUGCAACGCGAAGAACCUUACCAGGGUUUGACAUCCUGCGAAUCUCUUGGAAACGAGAGAGUGCCUUCGGGAACGCAGUGACAGGUGGUGCAUGGCUGUCGUCAGCUCGUGUCGUGAGAUGUUGGGUUAAGUCCCGCAACGAGCGCAACCCACGUCUUUAGUUGCCAGCAUUUAGUUGGGCACUCUAGAGAGACUGCCGGUGAUAAACCGGAGGAAGGUGUGGAUGACGUCAAGUCAUCAUGCCCCUUACAUCCUGGGCUACACACGUACUACAAUGCUACGGACAAAGGGCAGCAAACUCGCGAGAGCUAGCAAAUCCCAUAAACCGUGGCUCAGUUCAGAUCGUAGGCUGCAACUCGCCUACGUGAAGGAGGAAUCGCUAGUAAUCG